RNAcentral lists this ribosomal RNA (889 nucleotides) under uncultured organism. RNAcentral describes it as "bacterial SSU rRNA". It matches the Rfam family "Bacterial small subunit ribosomal RNA", at positions 552 to 1439 of the family's 1533-position model. The record is from RNAcentral.
UAUUGGGCGUAAAGCGUCCGCAGGCGGCUUAGCAAGUCUGCUGUCAAAUACCAGAGCUCAACUCUGGGUCGGCGGUGGAAACUGGCAAGCUAGAGUACAGUAGGGGUAGAGGGAAUUCCCAAUGUAGCGGUGAAAUGCGUAGAGAUUGGGAAGAACACCGUUGGCGAAAGCGCUCUACUGGGCUGUAACUGACGCUGAGGGACGAAAGCUAGGGUAGCGAAAGGGAUUAGAUACCCCUGUAGUCUUAGCUGUAAACGAUGGAGACUAGGCGUGGCUUGUAUCGACCCGAGCCGUGCCGAAGCCAACGCGUUAAGUCUCCCGCCUGGGGAGUACGCACGCAAGUGUGAAACUCAAAGGAAUCGACGGGGGCCCGCACAAGCGGUGGAGUAUGUGGUUUAAUUCGGUGCAACGCGAAGAACCUUACCAAGGCUUGACAUCCCGCGAAUCCUGGUGAAAGCCGGGAGUGCCUUCGGGAGCGCGGAGACAGGUGGUGCAUGGCUGUCGUCAGCUCGUGUCGUGAGAUGUUGGGUUAAGUCCCGCAACGAGCGCAACCCUUGUCCUUAGUUGCCAGCAUUCAGUUGGGCACUCUAGGGAGACUGCCGGUGACAAACCGGAGGAAGGUGGGGAUGACGUCAAGUCAUCAUGCCCCUUACGUCUUGGGCUACACACGUACUACAAUGGUUGGGACAACGGGCAGCGAAGCGGCAACGCCGAGCGAAUCCCAGCAAACCCAGCCUCAGUUCAGAUCGCAGGCUGCAACUCGCCUGCGUGAAGGAGGAAUCGCUAGUAAUCGCAGGUCAGCAUACUGCGGUGAAUUCGUUCCCCGGGCCUUGUACACACCGCCCGUCACACCAUGGAAGUUGGCCAUGCCCGAAGUCGUUACUCCAAC